This is a regulatory RNA element of Rhodospirillum centenum SW, 55 nucleotides long. It matches the Rfam family "COG3860 RNA". Lineage: Bacteria; Pseudomonadati; Pseudomonadota; Alphaproteobacteria; Rhodospirillales; Rhodospirillaceae. The record is from Rfam.
CGGUCGGCAGUUCACCCAGGCGUCGCCAUCCCGAAAGGGAAUGCUGAACCUGCCA